UAGAGUUUGAUCCUGGCUCAGGACGAACGCUGGCGGCACGCCUAACACAUGCAAGUCGAACGGAGUGAAGAUGCUCGCAUCUGAACUUAGUGGCGGACGGGUGAGUAACACGUGAGCAACCUGCCUUUCAGAGGGGGAUAACGUUUGGAAACGAACGCUAAUACCGCAUAAAAUAUCGGAGUCGCAUGGCACUGAUAUCAAAGGAGUAAUCCGCUGAAAGAUGGGCUCGCGUCCGAUUAGGCAGUUGGCGGGGUAACGGCCCACCAAACCGACAAUCGGUAGCCGGACUGAGAGGUUGAACGGCCACAUUGGGACUGAGACACGGCCCAGACUCCUACGGGAGGCAGCAGUGGGGGAUAUUGCACAAUGGGGGAAACCCUGAUGCAGCGAUGCCGCGUGAAUGAAGACGGCCUUCGGGUUGUAAAGUUCUGUCGCAGGGGACGAAAAUGACGGUACCCUGCAAGAAAGCUCCGGCUAACUACGUGCCAGCAGCCGCGGUAAUACGUAGGGAGCAAGCGUUGUCCGGAAUUACUGGGUGUAAAGGGAGCGUAGGCGGGAGGAUAAGUUGAAUGUGAAAUCUAUGGGCUCAACCCAUAGCUGCGUUCAAAACUGUUCUUCUUGAGUGAAGUAGAGGCAGGCGGAAUUCCUAGUGUAGCGGUGAAAUGCGUAGAUAUUAGGAGGAACACCAGUGGCGAAGGCGGCCUGCUGGGCUUUUACUGACGCUGAGGCUCGAAAGCGUGGGUAGCAAACAGGAUUAGAUACCCUGGUAGUCCACGCGGUAAACGAUGAUUA
This 792-nucleotide ribosomal RNA is filed under the name uncultured bacterium. RNAcentral's name for it is "bacterial SSU rRNA". It matches the Rfam family "Bacterial small subunit ribosomal RNA", at positions 1 to 815 of the family's 1533-position model. The record is from RNAcentral.